Molecule: unclassified non-coding RNA, 2064 nt
Filed under: Centruroides sculpturatus (bark scorpion)
Lineage: Eukaryota; Metazoa; Arthropoda; Arachnida; Scorpiones; Buthidae
Description: solute carrier family 13 member 5-like, transcript variant X1
Source: RNAcentral
AAGAAAAAUUUAGUCGACCGAAAUAAACUUAUGCUGAUUCUUUAGAUCACGUGCUUUCGAUUACGUAUCCCGAAAUUCAAAAAGAUUAUUCGAUUGAAAUUACAAUUUAGACGUUUUUCGAAUAGUCAAAAUGCCUAGAAAAGUAAAGAAACCAAAAACGAAACUUAGAAAAGUGGUGCGUACUUGUUGGCCCAUUCACAAAAUAUUCAUAAUUUGUUUCAUACCAUUGAUUUUAACAAUCAUUAUAAUUGUAGGGAACAAUUCAUUGGAAUCGAGAGGAUUAUAUAUUUUCUUUGUAAUGGAAAUUUUUUGGAUAUUAGAAUUGCUUCCUCUUGCUGUAACUUCAUUUUUUCCAAUUGUAUUAUUCCCGUUGCUCGGAAUAUCGAACUCCGAUAGGAUAUCUCGCAUAUAUAUGUCGCCAUCGAGCGUCUUGUAUUUUGUAUCCUCACUGUUUGCUGCUGGAAUCGAUCAUUGUAAUUUAUACAAACGAAUAGCAUUGACUGUGUUGUUUUAUAUGAAGAUAGAUAUAUCGAGGACAAUGUUAACACUUAUGACGACAACAGCAGUUAUUUCGAUGUGGAUUAGUAAUACCGUGACUACGACCACAAUUGUACCGAUUGUCCACGCUAUUAUUGUAGAACUUGCUAGAGCUAAAAUGUUAUGUGAUGGUAAGAAAAUGAAUUAUGCUCCGAAGAAGAAAUUUAUUAAAAAGGAAGACAGAAAGAAAAACGUAGAUAUUACAGAAAUUAAUGGAAACGAUAAUAAAGAUGAAUCAGGAAUUGAGAAUAAAAGUGAAUAUAAUAGCGAAGAUAAUAAAAUCGAAUACGACGAUAAUGUUAAGGAAUCGGAUAAUAAAGCAGUUAAUGAAGAUAAUGUUUAUUUCAAUAAUGAAGAAAUAUUAAAACAAGGAGAUGAACGUGAAGAAAUCAAAGAGAUUGAACGAGAAAAUGAAAAUGUCGAAUACGAAUUAAGCGAAGAAUCGUUGUUUGCUGUAGAAAUUGAAAAAUUGGACGAAGAUCUGCAGAGAAUGCGAAAAAUACUUAUGCUAAGUAUUUCCAUUGCAGCAAUUUGUGGAGGAACAAGCACUUUAAUCGGCACUUCAACAAAUACGAUUCUUGUUGAUUAUUUAAAAUACGAAUUUCCAGAUUCAAAAGAAGUUAAUUUUCUUUCGUGGAUGUGUUAUCACGUUCCGGUUGUUUUCUUAUUCGUUUUACUUAUAUAUCUAUAUCUAUCGAAAUAUGUCUUAAAAUAUAAACGAAUUUCUAAAAAUGAAGACAUAAGGAAAAUAAUAAUUGCCAAAUAUAAAGAACUGGGUCCGAUAUCGUUUCACGAAGUUGCCGUUUUGUCAUUAUCCGUUGGAGUUGUUAUAAGUUGUGUUUCAAAAAGUCCAACGUUUAUUUCCGGUUGGCAAGAUCUGUUGAAUAGUCUUUACAGUGAAGGAAAAAGACUUGAAGUGAAUUUUGUCACUCCUGCAAUCUUCUUUUCUCUGUUUCUCUUUUUGAUUCCUGCUAAACCGAAACUGAAGAAGAGUCCUCCUUUACUUACCUGGAAAAAAGCACAAAAACACAUGAAUUGGGACGUUUUGUUUAUAUUUGGUGGCUCUUUCACUCUUGCGGAAGGCUUGAAGGAUUCGGGAGUUAUUAAGCUUUUGGGCGAUCAACUUAAGAUUCUGUCUAACUUUCCAACUGAUUUGGUCAUGAUAAUCAUCUGUUUACUAGCGAUAAUAUUCACCCAACUGAUUACAAAUGCAGCAGUGAAUACAUCUUUCUUGCCAAUUAUUAAAAGCAAUAGCUCUUAAGGUAAAUCCGCUAUAUCUCAUGAUUCCGUUUACCAUAUCGUGUUCAUUUUCCUUUUCGUUGCCUAUGAGUACUCCAUCUAAUGUUGUUGUUUACAAUGCAUCAGGAAUAAAAACCAUCGAAAUGGCAAAGCCGGGAAUUAUUGUGACGAUAAUAUGCCUGAUAAUAGAAUUGUUAAUGGUUAUAAGUUGGGGAAAAUUUAUAUUUAAUUAUACAGCCUUUCCAGAUUGGGCUGUUAAUACGGAUUAUAGAGAUUAAUAAAGACUGU